This 587-nucleotide ribosomal RNA is filed under the name Hanseniaspora uvarum. RNAcentral describes it as "partial large subunit ribosomal RNA". It matches the Rfam family "Eukaryotic large subunit ribosomal RNA", at positions 53 to 654 of the family's 3401-position model. The record is from RNAcentral. Lineage: Eukaryota; Fungi; Ascomycota; Saccharomycetes; Saccharomycodales; Saccharomycodaceae.
GAGGAAAAGAAACCAACUGGGAUUACCUUAGUAACGGCGAGUGAAGCGGUAAAAGCUCAAAUUUGAAAUCUGGUACUUUCAGUGCCCGAGUUGUAAUUUGUAGAAUUUGUCUUUGAUUAGGUCCUUGUCUAUGUUCCUUGGAACAGGACGUCAUAGAGGGUGAGAAUCCCGUUUGGCGAGGAUACCUUUUCUCUGUAAGACUUUUUCGAAGAGUCGAGUUGUUUGGGAAUGCAGCUCAAAGUGGGUGGUAAAUUCCAUCUAAAGCUAAAUAUUGGCGAGAGACCGAUAGCGAACAAGUACAGUGAUGGAAAGAUGAAAAGAACUUUGAAAAGAGAGUGAAAAAGUACGUGAAAUUGUUGAAAGGGAAGGGCAUUUGAUCAGACAUGGUGUUUUUUGCAUGCACUCGCCUCUCGUGGGCUUGGGCCUCUCAAAAAUUUCACUGGGCCAACAUCAAUUCUGGCAGCAGGAUAAAUCAUUAAGAAUGUAGCUACUUCGGUAGUGUUAUAGCUUUUUGGAAUACUGUUAGCCGGGAUUGAGGACUGCGCUUCGGCAAGGAUGUUGGCAUAAUGGUUAAAUGCCGCCCGUCU